UGGCCGUAAACGAUGUGGACUUGGUGUUGGAAUGGCUCCGAGCUGCUCCAGUGCCGAAGGGAAGCUGUUAAGUCCACCGCCUGGGAAGUACGGUCGCAAGACUGAAACGUUAAAGGAAUUGGCGGGGGAGCACCACAAGAGGUGGAGGCUGCGGUUCAAUUGGACUCAACGCCGGAAACUCAUCGGGAGCGACAGCAGUAUGAUUGCCAGGUUGAUGACCUUGCUUGACAAGCUGAGAGGAGGUGCAUGGCGUAGUCGUGU
RNAcentral lists this ribosomal RNA (261 nucleotides) under uncultured archaeon. RNAcentral describes it as "partial 16S ribosomal RNA". It matches the Rfam family "Archaeal small subunit ribosomal RNA", at positions 748 to 1009 of the family's 1478-position model. The record is from RNAcentral.